Molecule: ribosomal RNA, 477 nt
Filed under: uncultured Alphaproteobacteria bacterium
Lineage: Bacteria; Pseudomonadati; Pseudomonadota; Alphaproteobacteria
Description: bacterial SSU rRNA
Rfam family: Bacterial small subunit ribosomal RNA
Source: RNAcentral
UGAUCCAGCCAUGCCGCGUGAGUGAUGAAGGCCCUAGGGUCGUAAAGCUCUUUCGCCAGGGAUGAUAAUGACAGUACCUGGUAAAGAAACCCCGGCUAACUCCGUGCCAGCAGCCGCGGUAAUACGGAGGGGGUUAGCGUUGUUCGGAAUUACUGGGCGUAAAGCGCGCGUAGGCUGACUAUUAAGUCAGAGGUGAAAUCCCGGGGCUCAACCCUGGAACUGCCUUUGAUACUGGUAGUCUUGAGUUCGAGAGAGGUGUGUGGAAUUCCGAGUGUAGAGGUGAAAUUCGUAGAUAUUCGGAGGAACACCAGUGGCGAAGGCGGCUCACUGGCUCGAUACUGACGCUGAGGUGCGAAAGUGUGGGGAGCAAACAGGAUUAGAUACCCUGGUAGUCCACACCGUAAACGAUGAAUGCCAGUCGUCGGGUAGCAUGCUAUUCGGUGACACACCUAACGGAUUAAGCAUUCCGCCUGGGGA